AUACGGAGGGUGCAAGCGUUACUCGGAAUCACUGGGCGUAAAGCGCGCGCAGGCGGGCUGAUAAGUUGGAUGUGAAAGCCUACGGCUCAACCGUAGAACUGCAUCCAAAACUGUCAGUCUAGAGUCUGGGAGGGGAAGAUGGAAUUAGUUGUGUAGGGGUAAAAUCCGUAGAGAUAACUAGGAAUACCAAAAGCGAAGGCGAUCUUCUGGAACAGUACUGACGCUGAGGCGCGAAAGCGUGGGAGCAAACAGGAUUAGAUACCCCUGUAGUCC
This 273-nucleotide ribosomal RNA is filed under the name uncultured bacterium. RNAcentral describes it as "partial 16S ribosomal RNA". It matches the Rfam family "Bacterial small subunit ribosomal RNA", at positions 523 to 796 of the family's 1533-position model. The record is from RNAcentral.